CGCGCCCCGCGCGCCCGCCGCCGCCCGCCGCCGCCCCCGCCGCCUGCGCCUCCUCCCGGCGCCGCGCGGCCGGACCGCCGGCCUCCUCCUCAUCCUCCCGCGUCCUCCCCGGCCCGCGCCGCCGCCGCCGGAGUCCGCAUCCUCCGCCUCCCGCGCCGGGAGCCGCUGCGGCGCAGGACCGCGGGGCGCGCGCCCCCUCCCCAGCCCGCCGCGCCCCUCCCCGCCCCUCCCCGCCCCUCCCCUCCCCGCCGCCCCGCGCGCCGGGCCCGGCGCCGCCCUCCCCCGCCGCAGCCCCCGCGGCCCGGGACGCCCCUCCGCCGCCUCCCCGGGGAGAAGCGCCCCCCGCGUCUCCCCGCCUCCCGCCCCGUACCCCGGCCGCCCGGCCCCCCGCGCAGGGCGCCCCCCGGGCCCGCCCCCCGGGCCCUCCCACCUCCCGGGCCCCUAAGCCUGCGCCUCCCCGGCGACCGGCCCACGCCCGCCGCCCGCCCGCGGCCUGGAAGCCGGAGGGACUCAGCCUGCGGGCGCGGGAGAGGAGGGGGGAGCCCGGUGCCGGCGGGGCGGGGAGCCGGGGCGCAGGACGGCGGAGGCGGAGGACGCAGGAAGGGAGAGCCCGGGUGGGGCGGGGGCGGGGGCGAGGGGAGCCGGGGAAGGGCUGGGCCUGCGUGGGGGGGGCGGCGGCGGUGCGGGAGGCCGGGCCCGGGGCCGGGGGAGGGGAGUCCCGGCGCGCGGGGUGCCGGGGAGGAGCCGCGGAGGCCUCAGGCGCAGCCUCGCACGAAGCCCCUGCGGACCUCAGUCAGAACAGCCCUCCCGGGGCUCGGGCGCGUGACAGAGUCUAAGUAUCUGGUUCUGCUCAUUGGAAGAAUGCACCAGGCCAGCAGGCAGAGGAGGCACCCACCUGGUGUUGAGGGACCAGUGUAG
Molecule: long non-coding RNA, 918 nt
Filed under: Canis lupus familiaris (dog)
Lineage: Eukaryota; Metazoa; Chordata; Mammalia; Carnivora; Canidae
Description: lncRNA (ENSCAFG00040004208.1)
Source: RNAcentral